RNAcentral lists this ribosomal RNA (375 nucleotides) under Triticum aestivum (bread wheat). Its description in RNAcentral is "partial small subunit ribosomal RNA". Lineage: Eukaryota; Viridiplantae; Streptophyta; Magnoliopsida; Poales; Poaceae. The record is from RNAcentral.
AUGACCCGGUGCACCUGCAGGCGAGUGAUGAAGGCUCCUCUCCUCUCCUCUUCUUCAGGGGGUGACCGCGAGCGUGGAAGAGAGAGAGGGAGGGAGAGAGAGAGAGAGAAGAGGGGUAGUGGGCCCGAGCCUCGCGCGCGCGGGACCCGCCGGCGGUGGCCAGCUCGUGGGGCACGGAAAAUGCUUUCCCCUCCCCCUCCCCUAGAUUUUGCUGUCGGGGAAUCUCUCCACCUCCUCCCCUCCCCUUUUCUCCAUUUUCCUUCCCUUUUCCCCGGUCCGUCCGACGCAGGAGCAGAGAAUCGCCACCGGUGGUACGACGGCGAUCCGCGCGUCGUGGCGCCACGCGUUGCAUCAUAUCAGAUCAUCGGCCAGUAA